CCUACGGGUGGCAGCAGUGGGGAAUAUUGGGCAAUGGGCGCAAGCCUGACCCAGCAACGCCGCGUGAAGGAAGAAGGCUUUCGGGUUGUAAACUUCUUUUAAGGGGGGAGAGCGGAAGACGGUACCCCUUGAAUAAGCCACGGCUAACUACGGGCCAGCAGCCGCGGUAAUACGUAGGUGGCAAGCGUUGUCCGGAUUUACUGGGUGUACAGGGCGUGCAGCCGGAGAGACAAGUCAGAUGUGAAAUCCACGGGCUCAACCCGUGAACUGCAUUUGAAACUGUGUCCCUUGAGUGUCGGAGAGGUGAUUGGAAUUCCAGGUGUAGCGGUGGAAUGCGUAGAUAUAAGGAAGAACACCAGUGGCGAAGGCAGAUUACUGGACGAUAACUGACGGUGAGGCGCGAAAGCGUGGGGAGCAAACAGGAUUAGAUACCCGAGUAGUC
This 442-nucleotide ribosomal RNA is filed under the name uncultured bacterium. Its description in RNAcentral is "partial 16S ribosomal RNA". It matches the Rfam family "Bacterial small subunit ribosomal RNA", at positions 338 to 795 of the family's 1533-position model. The record is from RNAcentral.